Molecule: ribosomal RNA, 459 nt
Filed under: Vibrio sp.
Lineage: Bacteria; Pseudomonadati; Pseudomonadota; Gammaproteobacteria; Vibrionales; Vibrionaceae
Description: bacterial SSU rRNA
Rfam family: Bacterial small subunit ribosomal RNA
Source: RNAcentral
AGUAAUGCCUAGGAAAUUGCCCUGAUGUGGGGGAUAACCAUUGGAAACGAUGGCUAAUACCGCAUAAUGCCUACGGGCCAAAGAGGGGGACCUUCGGGCCUCUCGCGUCAGGAUAUGCCUAGGUGGGAUUAGCUAGUUGGUGAGGUAAGGGCUCACCAAGGCGACGAUCCCUAGCUGGUCUGAGAGGAUGAUCAGCCACACUGGAACUGAGACACGGUCCAGACUCCUACGGGAGGCAGCAGUGGGGAAUAUUGCACAAUGGGCGCAAGCCUGAUGCAGCCAUGCCGCGUGUGUGAAGAAGGCCUUCGGGUUGUAAAGCACUUUCAGUCGUGAGGAAGGUAGUGUAGUUAAUAGCUGCAUUAUUUGACGUUAGCGACAGAAGAAGCACCGGCUAACUCCGUGCCAGCAGCCGCGGUAAUACGGAGGGUGCGAGCGUUAAUCGGAAUUACUGGGCGUAAA